ACCUCCCACCCGUGUUUACUGUACCUUAGUUGCUUCGGCGGGCCCGCCAUUCAUGGCCGCCGGGGGCUCUCAGCCCCGGGCCCGCGCCCGCCGGAGACACCACGAACUCUGUCUGAUCUAGUGAAGUCUGAGUUGAUUGUAUCGCAAUCAGUUAAAACUUUCAACAAUGGAUCUCUUGGUUCCGGCAUCGAUGAAGAACGCAGCGAAAUGCGAUAACUAGUGUGAAUUGCAGAAUUCCGUGAAUCAUCGAGUCUUUGAACGCACAUUGCGCCCCCUGGUAUUCCGGGGGGCAUGCCUGUCCGAGCGUCAUUGCUGCCCAUCAAGCACGGCUUGUGUGUUGGGUCGUCGUCCCCUCUCCGGGGGGGACGGGCCCCAAAGGCAGCGGCGGCACCGCGUCCGAUCCUCGAGCGUAUGGGGCUUUGUCACCCGCUCUGUAGGCCCGGCCGGCGCUUGCCGAACGCAAAUCAAUCUUUUCCAGGUUGACCUCGGAUCAGGUAGGGAUACCCGCUGAACUUAAGCAUAUCA
RNAcentral lists this ribosomal RNA (525 nucleotides) under Aspergillus flavus. RNAcentral describes it as "eukaryotic LSU rRNA". The stretch from base 156 to 309 matches the Rfam family "5.8S ribosomal RNA". Lineage: Eukaryota; Fungi; Ascomycota; Eurotiomycetes; Eurotiales; Aspergillaceae. The record is from RNAcentral.